UUGGAGGCAGAUGGCUGAUAAUUACUGAAACAAUUCUGACUUUGUACAAAAAAAAAUUUCUCAACGAGGUUAGUUAAUGGUUAUCAUGAUUGCAACAUGGCCAAUUCCUUUCAUCU
Molecule: microRNA precursor, 116 nt
Filed under: Mus pahari (shrew mouse)
Lineage: Eukaryota; Metazoa; Chordata; Mammalia; Rodentia; Muridae
Description: microRNA 496b (MGP_PahariEiJ_G0006619.1)
Source: RNAcentral